This 533-nucleotide ribosomal RNA is filed under the name uncultured bacterium. Its description in RNAcentral is "bacterial SSU rRNA". It matches the Rfam family "Bacterial small subunit ribosomal RNA", at positions 582 to 1113 of the family's 1533-position model. The record is from RNAcentral.
GUUAAAGUCUGAAGUUAAAGGCUGUGGCUCAACCAUAGUUCGCUUUGGAAACUGUCAAACUUGAGUGCAGAAGGGGAGAGUGGAAUUCCAUGUGUAGCGGUGAAAUGCGUAGAUAUAUGGAGGAACACCGGUGGCGAAAGCGGCUCUCUGGUCUGUAACUGACGCUGAGGCUCGAAAGCGUGGGGAGCGAACAGGAUUAGAUACCCUGGUAGUCCACGCCGUAAACGAUGAGUGCUAGGUGUUGGAUCCUUUCCGGGAUUCAGUGCCGCAGCUAACGCAUUAAGCACUCCGCCUGGGGAGUACGACCGCAAGGUUGAAACUCAAAGGAAUUGACGGGGGCCCGCACAAGCGGUGGAGCAUGUGGUUUAAUUCGAAGCAACGCGAAGAACCUUACCAGGUCUUGACAUCCCGAUGCUAUUUCUAGAGAUAGAAAGUUACUUCGGUACAUCGGUGACAGGUGGUGCAUGGUUGUCGUCAGCUCGUGUCGUGAGAUGUUGGGUUAAGUCCCGCAACGAGCGCAGUCGACGCGGCCG